RNAcentral lists this ribosomal RNA (388 nucleotides) under uncultured bacterium. RNAcentral's name for it is "bacterial SSU rRNA". It matches the Rfam family "Bacterial small subunit ribosomal RNA", at positions 28 to 417 of the family's 1533-position model. The record is from RNAcentral.
GACGAACGCUGGCGGCGUGCUUAACACAUGCAAGUCGAGCGGUAAGGCCCUUUCGGGGGUACACGAGCGGCGAACGGGUGAGUAACACGUGGGUGACCUGCCCUCAGCUCUGGGAUAAGCCUGGGAAACCGGGUCUAAUACCGGAUAUGACUCCAUGACGCAUGUUGUGGGGUGGAAAGCCUUGUGCGGCUGAGGAUGGGCCCGCGGCCUAUCAGCUUGUUGGUGGGGUGAUGGCCUACCAAGGCGACGACGGGUAGCCGGCCUGAGAGGGCGACCGGCCACACUGGGACUGAGACACGGCCCAGACUCCUACGGGAGGCAGCAGUGGGGAAUCUUGCGCAAUGGGCGAAAGCCUGACACAGCGACGCCGCGUGAGGGAUGACGGCCU